This 498-nucleotide ribosomal RNA is filed under the name uncultured bacterium. Its description in RNAcentral is "partial 16S ribosomal RNA". It matches the Rfam family "Bacterial small subunit ribosomal RNA", at positions 28 to 523 of the family's 1533-position model. The record is from RNAcentral.
GAUGAACGCUAGCGGCAGGCCUAAUACAUGCAAGUCGAACGAGAUUAAGAGGCUUGCUUCUUAUGAAAGUGGCGCACGGGUGCGUAACGCGUAUGCAACCUACCUUAAUCAGGGGGAUAGCCCGAAGAAAUUCAGAUUAAGACCGCAUAAAAACACAGGAUAGCAUUAUCCAAUGUUCAAAUAUUUAUAGGAUUAAGAUGGGCAUGCGUGUCAUUAGCUAGUUGGUGGGGUAACGGCCCACCAAGGCGACGAUGACUAGGGGAUCUGAGAGGAUGACCGCCCACACUGGUAGUGAGACACGGACCAGACUCCUACGGGAGACAGCAGUAAGGAAUAUUGGUCAAUGGAGGGAACUCUGAACCAGCCAUGCCGCGUGCAGGAAGACAGCCCUCUGGGUCGUAAACUGCUUUUAUUCGGGAAUAAACCUUUCUACGUGUAGGAAGCUGAAUGUACCGAAGGAAUAAGGAUCGGCUAACUCCGUGCCAGCAGCCGCGGUAA